This 1064-nucleotide long non-coding RNA is filed under the name Zalophus californianus (California sea lion). RNAcentral describes it as "lncRNA (ENSZCAG00015009113.1)". The record is from RNAcentral. Lineage: Eukaryota; Metazoa; Chordata; Mammalia; Carnivora; Otariidae.
GCCAGGGGGCCUAGGUCUCCGCCAGGGGCAGCCAGGGGCCCUGCUGGACCUUGGUCUACCAGCCAGUGACCUCUGAGGGCGGGUGGCUCCCUGGAAGCCGCGUCCCAGGGCCCAGCCCCGUGGGCCAGGACAGGAGUCCCCAUCAGACAGAGCCACAGGCUCUUCUCCCCACCGAGGCCACGGGGAACCUGAGUGAAAAGGCACAGGCGGCAGGUGGACAGGCGCGGGGCCCCGAGGCCAACCGGCUGCUGACCCUGGAGCGCUCUGGCUCGGGCACCCCUGCCCAGGCUGGGGACGAUGUGGCCGAGGCCCCCAGCAGCCACCCCUGCCCGGUCCUGGAACUCCCUCCAGCCUGGCCUCUGGGCUGUGGAGCAGAAGAUGGGCCAGCCUUCUGCUUCGUGUGCUUCCACAGGGAGGAGGAGGAGGAGAUGCUGAAAGAGGUCCCACCACAGAGGGUCACUGGAUGCUCCUGUUCCUGGCUGUGAAGAGCUUCCAUAACCUUUGCUCAGAAUGUCGUCACGGUCUUCAACUUCCUAAACCUGAUCUGCUCUCUGAACUACUCAGUCACCAAUGCCACCAGGAUCUCUGGCCAUGCUGAUGGCCCGGGCAUGAUGGUGGCCAUCUGGGCAGAGGGUGCUUCCUGCACUACCGUAAUGCGGACCAACAAGCCAGGAAUGCCUUCUCUUUGUCAUGACUGGGAAUGUGAGCAAUAAGGAGCAUCACAGAACAUAGACCACACUGGGGAAAUCCCCACAAAUGCCAUCAUUUUUCCCCAGCAUAGGGACUACCAAUAUGGCCGACACCUCAAUUUCAGUACAACUAGUAGUCACCCAAACUCAUAUAGUUUGAAACGUAUAUAUUCUAGAGGACAGGGACUCUGUUUUGAUUCCUUCCCCAACCCCCACAACAGUAGCAGAAACUUCUGACACAUUAGUGAACACAAGAUGCAGCCAAAGGGAGGUCCUGGAAUGGAUUCCUGGCCCCACAAGCUUCCUUGAGCACGGAGUGGCAAACUUGACUGCCUGCAAGUGUGAGUCCACACCAGCAUCAGAGAGGCUGUGGGU